UCGAGCGUCAUUAUAACCACUCAAGCUCUCGCUUGGUAUUGGGGUUCGCGGUUUCGCGGCCCCUAAAAUCAGUGGCGGUGCCUGUCGGCUCUACGCGUAGUAAUACUCCUCGCGAUUGAGUCCGGUAGGUCUACUUGCCAGCAACCCCUAAUUUUUUUAAGGUUGACCUCGGAUCAGGUAGGGAUACCCGCUGAACUUAA
RNAcentral lists this unclassified non-coding RNA (200 nucleotides) under Ascomycota sp. RNAcentral describes it as "partial contains internal transcribed spacer 2 and large subunit ribosomal RNA". The record is from RNAcentral. RNAcentral also lists the same sequence under 1 other name. Lineage: Eukaryota; Fungi; Ascomycota.